Long non-coding RNA from Magallana angulata, 840 nucleotides. RefSeq lists it as uncharacterized. The record is from RefSeq and is a predicted model, not a curated record. NCBI's taxonomy places the organism in Eukaryota, Metazoa, Mollusca, Bivalvia, Ostreida, Ostreidae. The transcript is spliced from 2 exons.
GAACGGUACAAUUGUUUUGUUAAUGGUACGGUUCGUUUUGUGAACGGUACGGUACGCUUUGUGAACGGUACGAUUCGUUUUGUUAACGGUAUGGUUCAUUUCUUGUACGGAACGGUACGGUUCGUUUUAGAGGUUUAGUAACAUAUUUUUGGGUCUGUACAUACGUGUCACAGACUGUCUAAGGUAUAUUUUUAGACUGAACUUUAGAAUUUGUAUGAUGAUGACAUUCUCUUGAUGGAACAAAUCAGGAGAAAGAGCGCAAAAACCACGUGACCAAUGAUACAUGACUGUAUAUAAACUAUUACAUUGGUUGGGCGUUUUGUAUUUCCUAACACUUGUUGUACGCCAUGAAUCGUCAGACGUUUUUUAUUCUCUUGCUUGUUGCGGGGAUUUUGCUGACUAUCUCCGAAGUUGAAGGAAAACUGGGACAUUUCAGUAGAGUGCGAAGACCGUUAAGAAGAAAGAGAGAUACAAAUGGUAUCCCUGGAAAUGGAAUGAAUGGCCUCCCUGGAGACGGAACAGACCUGGGUCCGCGUAGACCAGAUUACUAUGGCUGAGAUUCGAAAUAAUUCGGAAAUAACAUUUUUUUAGUGGAAAAGAAAACAGAUUGCUUCAUGUAAUUUCUGCUUCAUUUAAAUAUAGCCAUUCUCAAUUCUGGAUUUAUUUUAGUUUUUGUUCCACACUUAUAACUUUUUUCAUCCUCAUCAAAUGAAUAGGACAACAUGCAGCUUUAUUGCAUAAUAAAAAGGUCAAGAAUGUGUAACAUUAUGCAAUAACUCACCAUCUUACUAUUUGUAUUUAUCAAAGUAUUUGGAACGUAAUAAAAUAUAUAAAAUACUU